This 478-nucleotide ribosomal RNA is filed under the name uncultured bacterium. Its description in RNAcentral is "bacterial SSU rRNA". It matches the Rfam family "Bacterial small subunit ribosomal RNA", at positions 28 to 524 of the family's 1533-position model. The record is from RNAcentral.
GACGAACGCUGGCGGCGUGCCUAACACAUGCAAGUCGAACGAGGUCCAUCCUUCGGGAGAAGACCUAGUGGCGAACGGGUGAGUAACACGUGAGGAACCUGCCCCGAAGACCGGGAUAACCCUCCGAAAGGAGAGCUAAUACCGGAUACCCCCACCGAACCGCAUGGUUUGGUGAGGAAAUGGAUUCCGCUUCGGGAGGGCCUCGCGGCCUAUCAGCUAGUUGGUGGGGUAACGGCCACCAAGGCAUCGACGGGUAGCUGGUCUGAGAGGACGAUCAGCCACACUGGGACUGAGACACGGCCCAGACUCCUACGGGAGGCAGCAGUGGGGAAUCUUGCGCAAUGGGCGAAAGCCUGACGCAGCAACGCCGCGUGGGGGAUGAAGGCUCUCGGGUUGUAAACCCCUUUCAGCAGGGACGAAUCAAGACGGUACCUGCAGAAGAAGCCCCGGCUAACUACGUGCCAGCAGCCGCGGUAAU